ACGGAAGGCAGCAGUGGGGAAUAUUGCACAAUGGGCGAAAGCCUGAUGCAGCGACGCCGCGUGAGUGAAGAAGUAUUUCGGUAUGUAAAGCUCUAUCAGCAGGGAAGAUAAUGACGGUACCUGACUAAGAAGCACCGGCUAAAUACGUGCCAGCAGCCGCGGUAAUACGUAUGGUGCAAGCGUUAUCCGGAUUUACUGGGUGUAAAGGGAGCGUAGGCGGUCUGAUAAGUCUGAAGUGAAAGCCCGGGGCUCAACCGCGGGAUUGCUUUGGAAACUGUUGGACUAGAGUGUCGGAGGGGCAAGUGGAAUUCCUAGUGUAGCGGUGAAAUGCGUAGAUAUUAGGAGGAACACCAGUGGCGAAGGCGGCUUGCUGGACGAUUACUGACGCUGAGACUCGAAAGCGUGGGGAGCAAACAGGAUUAGAUACCCUGGUA
RNAcentral lists this ribosomal RNA (434 nucleotides) under uncultured Pseudobutyrivibrio sp. RNAcentral's name for it is "partial 16S ribosomal RNA". It matches the Rfam family "Bacterial small subunit ribosomal RNA", at positions 341 to 792 of the family's 1533-position model. The record is from RNAcentral. Lineage: Bacteria; Bacillati; Bacillota; Clostridia; Lachnospirales; Lachnospiraceae.